AUCUACCUAGUAGUAUAGGAUAGCCACUAGAAAAGGUGGGUAAUACUGUAUAAUCCCUGCGGGGGAAAGAUUUAUCGCUACUAGAUGAGCCUAUGUUAGAUUAGCUAGUUGGUGGGGUAAUGGCCUACCAAGGCAGUGAUCUAUAGCUGGUCUGAGAGGAUGAUCAGCCACACUGGAACUGAGACACGGUCCAGACUCCUACGGGAGGCAGCAGUGGGGAAUAUUGGACAAUGGGCGCAAGCCUGAUCCAGCUAUGCCGCGUGAGUGAGGAAGGCCUUAGGGUUGUAAAACUCUUUCAGUAGGGAAGAUAAUGACGGUACC
RNAcentral lists this ribosomal RNA (321 nucleotides) under Anaplasma phagocytophilum. RNAcentral describes it as "bacterial SSU rRNA". It matches the Rfam family "Bacterial small subunit ribosomal RNA", at positions 124 to 479 of the family's 1533-position model. The record is from RNAcentral. Lineage: Bacteria; Pseudomonadati; Pseudomonadota; Alphaproteobacteria; Rickettsiales; Anaplasmataceae.